AGAUACCAAGUCCUUGUGGUCUACCAGCUCUCUGAAUCUGCAUGCAUCCUCAGGGCUCCAGUCUUUGUUAGCUGCUUUGAUGCCUGCAAAAAGAAGCACUUCGCAUCACCAACACCUGGGAAUGACAAACCAUGAGUGGUGAAAGGUACCUUAAGCAGUAGUGGAGUGUCUGGGGAAGCCAAGUCCAGGAGUCGCUGACAUGCCUGUGUUGUCCACUUCAGCUCCGGGUUGCUGGGGACAUUGUCCAGGCAGCACGGCAAUGCCUGCACACCAACAACAUUGUACAAUUCCUUUUGUUAUUAAUAAAUUUGUACAAUUCA
Molecule: long non-coding RNA, 320 nt
Organism: Scylla paramamosain (green mud crab)
Lineage: Eukaryota; Metazoa; Arthropoda; Malacostraca; Decapoda; Portunidae
Exons: 2
Source: RefSeq, a predicted model, not a curated record